UCUAAUACCGGAUAACACUCUGUCCUGCAUGGGACGGGGUUGAAAGCUCCGGCGGUGAAGGAUGAGCCCGCGGCCUAUCAGCUUGUUGGUGGGGUAAUGGCCUACCAAGGCGACGACGGG
RNAcentral lists this ribosomal RNA (120 nucleotides) under Streptomyces sp. RNAcentral describes it as "partial 16S rRNA". It matches the Rfam family "Bacterial small subunit ribosomal RNA", at positions 162 to 283 of the family's 1533-position model. The record is from RNAcentral. RNAcentral also lists the same sequence under 1 other name. Lineage: Bacteria; Bacillati; Actinomycetota; Actinomycetes; Kitasatosporales; Streptomycetaceae.